CCGACCCCUGAAAGUCUCGCGAGAGCUGGAAACAAGUCCCAUUGGGGCUGCGCCUAUGGGUUUGCGAGGCUGACAGUUUCCUAGGCGUCACCCCAAGCCGUGACCAGGCCUUUCCUCCUCACCAAAGUGCGACAUUGGCCCUGGAAAUCCCCCGGGCAAGAGAGGGUUGUAAAUUCAGCUUCCUUAACGUCGCAGAUUAGAAUGUUCUACACCACAGCACCUGCAUAAAUAAAGGUCUUUUAGAUGCC
RNAcentral lists this long non-coding RNA (248 nucleotides) under Homo sapiens (human). Its description in RNAcentral is "long non-coding RNA NONHSAT151217.1". The record is from RNAcentral. Lineage: Eukaryota; Metazoa; Chordata; Mammalia; Primates; Hominidae.